Molecule: ribosomal RNA, 301 nt
Filed under: uncultured bacterium
Lineage: Bacteria
Description: partial 16S ribosomal RNA
Rfam family: Bacterial small subunit ribosomal RNA
Source: RNAcentral
CAGUAGCCACGGUAAUACGUAGGUGGCAAGCGUUGUCCGGAAUUAUUGGGCGUAAAGGGCUCGCAGGCGGUUUCUUAAGUCUGAUGUGAAAGCCCCCGGCUCAACCGGGGAGGGUCAUUGGAAACUGGGAAACUUGAGUGCAGAAGAGGAGAGUGGAAUUCCACGUGUAGCGGUGAAAUGCGUAGAGAUGUGGAGGAACACCAGUGGCGAAGGCGACUCUCUGGUCUGUAACUGACGCUGAGGAGCGAAAGCGUGGGGAGCGAACAGGAUUAGAUACCCCCGUAGUCCCUGUCUCUUAUCC